UUUAAGUGGAGCUGGGAGACCCGCUUUCCUCCCACACCAGGCGCAGACGCCGAGGCACAGCUCCGCCAGCCGCCCCGCCUUUACCUGGCGGGAUACUCACCUCUCCUCCUUCCUGGGGAGGCCACCGCCUCCCUCUCCCCCUUCUGCCCUGGGCUGGUUCCCAGCGAGCCCGCCAUUCUGGCUUCUUAACUUGCACCCUAACAGCUCGACAGAACCUUGGCGUCCACAAAAAGGACUUGAGGUGGGACAUGGAAGAACAGGGACCCCUCCUGGUUUGUCCACCCAGCCCACACCUCCAUUCCUCACCCAACCUACCACUUCAGAGCCGGGAAAAGACCUCAGAGAACAUCCGCUCCGACUCUACCGAGGCUCAGACAGGACAACAAGAGUGUGCUGGACACUGGGAAAUGUGGUCCAGGAGCAGUCACAGUCCCUAUAGACCUCCCACAAAUUACCGUAAUGCAAAGGUGAGAAUGUGGAAUGUCUCAGAGGAGACCCAGAUUAUAGCCUCUGGAAUUCAGCGGAGAUCUCUCGUGGUCCAGAGAGAUGUUGCAGAGAUGGGGUGGGACUGCGUAAGACUCCUCAAGGGCGAUUAGUCAAACACUGAGAUGAACUGAUCCAUCUGCGCUCUGCUGAGGAGCCCUUCUGGGAUGUAAGUCCUCAUCCGAGAGGCAGCUGGAGGGGAUGGGGCCCGGCAGAAUAGGGUUAAUGCAGCCAAAGUUCAAAUUCUGGCUCUAUUAGCAGUGAACACUUGGGAGAGCUCCUUCACUCACCGACUCUCAUCAGGAAAAUAGUGAUAGCAUGAACCCCUCCAGAUGGUUUUAGGAUUAAAAGAGAUACUUGUGCAAAGCCUCAGCAUACGGUAAGUGGUUGGAACAAACAUAUGCAUAGAAUCUUAGCUGCCAAUUAUUAGGAGGACUCAGCCCUCUCCUCCUGGGGGGUGCACUGUGAGGCUUAGAAAGACUAAGGGAGACCCAGCCCCUCACCUCCAUCCCACACGAGGCUCUACCCUUCCUUGGGGGCCGGGUCUUCCUUUCUUGACUCCCCUCAAUGCCAGGGCUGCCUGGGGUGCCGGAGAUCAACCACAGAAAGAAGCCCUGCUUGGUUCAAGUGAAUUGAGGGGAGCUGGGCAUUUCCCACCGGUUUGAUGAAGCUCCUCUCCAGCUUCAUUCCCUGCCACUGGGAAUCAGCGGCACAACUUGCAACCAACAUGGCUGAAAACAGGCAUCUUGGGCAGAUUCUACCUGACACCUUAGUUGGCAGCCAAUCAGUUGUGCCCUGGCUACCCUAGUGCCACCUCAUGGGUCCCUUGCAUUGGGCUGUAGCCUGAUA
This is a long non-coding RNA of Homo sapiens (human), 1332 nucleotides long. Ensembl annotates it as TMEM51 antisense RNA 1. Its record names the gene TMEM51-AS1. NCBI's taxonomy places the organism in Eukaryota, Metazoa, Chordata, Mammalia, Primates, Hominidae. The record is from Ensembl.